UCCCAUGUGGACUUGUUAUUAGGACUCCUGGCUUUCACCCACGCGGCCCGGGUUCGAUUCCCGGCAUGGGAA
Angiostrongylus costaricensis is the source of this 72-nucleotide non-coding RNA. Lineage: Eukaryota; Metazoa; Nematoda; Chromadorea; Rhabditida; Metastrongylidae. The record is from Rfam.